UACGUAGGUGGCAAGCGUUGUCCGGAAUUAUUGGGCGUAAAGCGCUCGCAGGCGGUCCUUUAAGUCCGAUGUGAAAGCCCACGGCUCAACCGUGGAGGGUCAUUGGAAACUGGGGGACUUGAGUGAAGAAGAGGAGGGUGGAAUUCCACGUGUAGCGGUGAAAUGCGUAGAGAUGUGGAGGAACACCAGUGGCGAAGGCGACUCUCUGGUCUGUAACUGACGCUGAGGAGCGAAGGCGUGGGGAGCGAACAGG
RNAcentral lists this unclassified non-coding RNA (253 nucleotides) under uncultured Bacillaceae bacterium. Its description in RNAcentral is "contains 16S-23S intergenic spacer region". It matches the Rfam family "Bacterial small subunit ribosomal RNA", at positions 524 to 776 of the family's 1533-position model. The record is from RNAcentral. Lineage: Bacteria; Bacillati; Bacillota; Bacilli; Caryophanales; Bacillaceae.